Molecule: ribosomal RNA, 2895 nt
Filed under: Escherichia coli O25:NM
Lineage: Bacteria; Pseudomonadati; Pseudomonadota; Gammaproteobacteria; Enterobacterales; Enterobacteriaceae
Description: bacterial LSU rRNA
Rfam family: Bacterial large subunit ribosomal RNA
Source: RNAcentral
ACUAAGCGUACACGGUGGAUGCCCUGGCAGUCAGAGGCGAUGAAGGACGUGCUAAUCUGCGAUAAGCGUCGGUAAGGUGAUAUGAACCGUUAUAACCGGCGAUUUCCGAAUGGGGAAACCCAGUGUGUUUCGACACACUAUCAUUAACUGAAUCCAUAGGUUAAUGAGGCGAACCGGGGGAACUGAAACAUCUAAGUACCCCGAGGAAAAGAAAUCAACCGAGAUUCCCCCAGUAGCGGCGAGCGAACGGGGAGCAGCCCAGAGCCUGAAUCAGUGUGUGUGUUAGUGGAAGCGUCUGGAAAGGCGCGCGAUACAGGGUGACAGCCCCGUACACAAAAAUGCACAUGCUGUGAGCUCGAUGAGUAGGGCGGGACACGUGGUAUCCUGUCUGAAUAUGGGGGGACCAUCCUCCAAGGCUAAAUACUCCUGACUGACCGAUAGUGAACCAGUACCGUGAGGGAAAGGCGAAAAGAACCCCGGCGAGGGGAGUGAAAAAGAACCUGAAACCGUGUACGUACAAGCAGUGGGAGCACGCUUAGGCGUGUGACUGCGUACCUUUUGUAUAAUGGGUCAGCGACUUAUAUUCUGUAGCAAGGUUAACCGAAUAGGGGAGCCGAAGGGAAACCGAGUCUUAACUGGGCGUUAAGUUGCAGGGUAUAGACCCGAAACCCGGUGAUCUAGCCAUGGGCAGGUUGAAGGUUGGGUAACACUAACUGGAGGACCGAACCGACUAAUGUUGAAAAAUUAGCGGAUGACUUGUGGCUGGGGGUGAAAGGCCAAUCAAACCGGGAGAUAGCUGGUUCUCCCCGAAAGCUAUUUAGGUAGCGCCUCGUGAAUUCAUCUCCGGGGGUAGAGCACUGUUUCGGCAAGGGGGUCAUCCCGACUUACCAACCCGAUGCAAACUGCGAAUACCGGAGAAUGUUAUCACGGGAGACACACGGCGGGUGCUAACGUCCGUCGUGAAGAGGGAAACAACCCAGACCGCCAGCUAAGGUCCCAAAGUCAUGGUUAAGUGGGAAACGAUGUGGGAAGGCCCAGACAGCCAGGAUGUUGGCUUAGAAGCAGCCAUCAUUUAAAGAAAGCGUAAUAGCUCACUGGUCGAGUCGGCCUGCGCGGAAGAUGUAACGGGGCUAAACCAUGCACCGAAGCUGCGGCAGCGACGCUUAUGCGUUGUUGGGUAGGGGAGCGUUCUGUAAGCCUGUGAAGGUGUACUGUGAGGUAUGCUGGAGGUAUCAGAAGUGCGAAUGCUGACAUAAGUAACGAUAAAGCGGGUGAAAAGCCCGCUCGCCGGAAGACCAAGGGUUCCUGUCCAACGUUAAUCGGGGCAGGGUGAGUCGACCCCUAAGGCGAGGCCGAAAGGCGUAGUCGAUGGGAAACAGGUUAAUAUUCCUGUACUUGGUGUUACUGCGAAGGGGGGACGGAGAAGGCUAUGUUGGCCGGGCGACGGUUGUCCCGGUUUAAGCGUGUAGGCUGGUUUUCCAGGCAAAUCCGGAAAAUCAAGGCUGAGGCGUGAUGACGAGGCACUACGGUGCUGAAGCAACAAAUGCCCUGCUUCCAGGAAAAGCCUCUAAGCAUCAGGUAACAUCAAAUCGUACCCCAAACCGACACAGGUGGUCAGGUAGAGAAUACCAAGGCGCUUGAGAGAACUCGGGUGAAGGAACUAGGCAAAAUGGUGCCGUAACUUCGGGAGAAGGCACGCUGAUAUGUAGGUGAAGUCCCUCGCGGAUGGAGCUGAAAUCAGUCGAAGAUACCAGCUGGCUGCAACUGUUUAUUAAAAACACAGCACUGUGCAAACACGAAAGUGGACGUAUACGGUGUGACGCCUGCCCGGUGCCGGAAGGUUAAUUGAUGGGGUUAGCCGCAAGGCGAAGCUCUUGAUCGAAGCCCCGGUAAACGGCGGCCGUAACUAUAACGGUCCUAAGGUAGCGAAAUUCCUUGUCGGGUAAGUUCCGACCUGCACGAAUGGCGUAAUGAUGGCCAGGCUGUCUCCACCCGAGACUCAGUGAAAUUGAACUCGCUGUGAAGAUGCAGUGUACCCGCGGCAAGACGGAAAGACCCCGUGAACCUUUACUAUAGCUUGACACUGAACAUUGAGCCUUGAUGUGUAGGAUAGGUGGGAGGCUUGGAAGUGUGGACGCCAGUCUGCAUGGAGCCGACCUUGAAAUACCACCCUUUAAUGUUUGAUGUUCUAACGUUGACCCGUAAUCCGGGUUGCGGACAGUGUCUGGUGGGUAGUUUGACUGGGGCGGUCUCCUCCUAAAGAGUAACGGAGGAGCACGAAGGUUGGCUAAUCCUGGUCGGACAUCAGGAGGUUAGUGCAAUGGCAUAAGCCAGCUUGACUGCGAGCGUGACGGCGCGAGCAGGUGCGAAAGCAGGUCAUAGUGAUCCGGUGGUUCUGAAUGGAAGGGCCAUCGCUCAACGGAUAAAAGGUACUCCGGGGAUAACAGGCUGAUACCGCCCAAGAGUUCAUAUCGACGGCGGUGUUUGGCACCUCGAUGUCGGCUCAUCACAUCCUGGGGCUGAAGUAGGUCCCAAGGGUAUGGCUGUUCGCCAUUUAAAGUGGUACGCGAGCUGGGUUUAGAACGUCGUGAGACAGUUCGGUCCCUAUCUGCCGUGGGCGCUGGAGAACUGAGGGGGGCUGCUCCUAGUACGAGAGGACCGGAGUGGACGCAUCACUGGUGUUCGGGUUGUCAUGCCAAUGGCACUGCCCGGUAGCUAAAUGCGGAAGAGAUAAGUGCUGAAAGCAUCUAAGCACGAAACUUGCCCCGAGAUGAGUUCUCCCUGACCCUUUAAGGGUCCUGAAGGAACGUUGAAGACGACGACGUUGAUAGGCCGGGUGUGUAAGCGCAGCGAUGCGUUGAGCUAACCGGUACUAAUGAACCGUGAGGCUUAACC